UGAUUUCCCUAGUAACGGCGAGUGAAGAGGAAAGAGCUCAAAGUUGGAACCUGUUUGGCUUAGCUAAACCGGAUUGUAAACUGUAGAAGUGUUUUCCUGACACGCCUGGUAAAAAAGUCCUUUGGAACAGGGCAUCAUAGAGGGUGAGAAUCCCGUGUUUGGCCAGAGCUGUUGUCUUUUGUGAUACAUUUUCAAAGAGUCAGGUUGUUUGGGAAUGCAGCCUAAAUUGGGUGGUAAAUCUCACCUAAAGCUAAAUAUUUGCGAGAGACCGAUAGCGAACAAGUACCGUGAGGGAAAGAUGAAAAGAACUUUGAAAAGAGAGUUAAACAGUAUGUGAAAUUGUUAAAAGGGAACCGUUUGGAGCCAGACUGGCUUGACUGUAAUCAAUCUAGGCUUCGGCCUGGAUGCACUUGCGGUUUAUGCCUGCCAACGACAAUUUUUUUUGAGGGAAAAAACUAUUAGGAAUGUGGCCCCCUUCGGGGGGUGUUAUAGCCUUUUAGAAAAUACCUUGAAUUGGAUUGAGGAACGCAGUGAAUGCCUUUAGGCAAGAUUGCUGGGUGCUUUCGUUAAUAAAUGCUAGAAUUUCUGCCUUGGGUGGUGCUAGUGUUUAAAGAUGGAACUCGCCUGGUAUAUUUUUUAUUCGCUUAGGUUGUUGGCUUAAUGACUCUAAAUGACCCGUCUUGAAACACGGACCAAGGAGUCCACCAUUAGUGCGAGUAUUUGGGUGACAAACCCAUAUGCGUAAGGAAACUGAUUGAUACGAAAUCUUUAAGAUGGCAGUAUCACCCGGCGAUGACGUUUUAUACUGAACCGACCGAGGUAAAGCACUAAUGAUGGGACCCGAAAGAUGGUGAACUAUGCCUGAAUAGGGUGAAGCC
This 878-nucleotide ribosomal RNA is filed under the name Pilaira anomala. Its description in RNAcentral is "LSU rRNA". It matches the Rfam family "Eukaryotic large subunit ribosomal RNA", at positions 72 to 853 of the family's 3401-position model. The record is from RNAcentral. Lineage: Eukaryota; Fungi; Mucoromycota; Mucoromycetes; Mucorales; Mucoraceae.